This 613-nucleotide ribosomal RNA is filed under the name uncultured bacterium. RNAcentral describes it as "bacterial SSU rRNA". It matches the Rfam family "Bacterial small subunit ribosomal RNA", at positions 80 to 687 of the family's 1533-position model. The record is from RNAcentral.
UUGCUUCUCUUGAGAGCGGCGGACGGGUGAGUAAUGCCUAGGAAUCUGCCUGGUAGUGGGGGAUAACGUCCGGAAACGGACGCUAAUACCGCAUACGUCCUACGGGAGAAAGCAGGGGACCUUCGGGCCUUGCGCUAUCAGAUGAGCCUAGGUCGGAUUAGCUAGUUGGUGGGGUAAUGGCUCACCAAGGCGACGAUCCGUAACUGGUCUGAGAGGAUGAUCAGUCACACUGGAACUGAGACACGGUCCAGACUCCUACGGGAGGCAGCAGUGGGGAAUAUUGGACAAUGGGCGAAAGCCUGAUCCAGCCAUGCCGCGUGUGUGAAGAAGGUCUUCGGAUUGUAAAGCACUUUAAGUUGGGAGGAAGGGCAGUAAAUUAAUACUUUGCUGUUUUGACGUUACCGACAGAAUAAGCACCGGCUAACUCUGUGCCAGCAGCCGCGGUAAUACAGAGGGUGCAAGCGUUAAUCGGAAUUACUGGGCGUAAAGCGCGCGUAGGUGGUUCGUUAAGUUGGAUGUGAAAUCCCCGGGCUCAACCUGGGAACUGCAUUCAAAACUGACGAGCUAGAGUAUGGGUAGAGGGUGGUGGAAUUUCUCUGUGUAGCGGUGAAAU